Long non-coding RNA from Cucumis melo (muskmelon), 841 nucleotides. RefSeq lists it as uncharacterized. The record is from RefSeq and is a predicted model, not a curated record. Lineage: Eukaryota; Viridiplantae; Streptophyta; Magnoliopsida; Cucurbitales; Cucurbitaceae. The transcript is spliced from 2 exons.
GGUUUGUGAGAUAUUCAACGCAAUCGCAACCCAUUCACGCCAAAAUAAUUGGGCCGGCCCAAUACUCAACAAUUCAGCCCCAUUACCUAGUCCGACUCCUUCACCGGGAGAGAGGGAAUGGACGGCGGUGUAGACCUACGCUGGAAUCCCAAUUCCGACUUCCGAUAUCAAUGUCGUUUGGUUUCGUCUCCUACGAUUCAACGAAGGUUGAAUUCUAGGGCUUUCUCUGGGUCAGCUCUGUCAUUCUCUGUAUCGUAUUUACCUGGAAAGGAGCGACGGGUAUACCAUGCAUUCAAAUAUGGCUUGCUUCUGGCUGCAUAGGACCAUGUUGAAUGAUUAUGGCUGUGAAAGAAGAAUUCACAGUUGAAAUUCCUGCACAUGAAGUUGAGAAAGCUGUAAUCACAUUUCAUCUCAUGACGACAACGUUGCGGCCCCCAUUCACAAGCCAAAUGAGAUUCUCAUUGUUGCCAGGUGGAAUCUUGUUAACAAACAUAAUUAUUUUCACUUUGCCUGUCAAUAUGCCACUGAUCAAUAGAUUGCAAUUAUAUUUCUAUGGCCAAUCAUUGAUAUCCUCCUUUCCACUUUUUUAUGCCUCCUAAAACAUAAGCAAUAUCCUAUUGGAUUCAUAAGGAUGUUUCUUUAGUAAACUGAUGUCAUUUUCUUGUUUUUGAAACUGUGGCUCUGAUGUUAACUACUCUCCUAUUAAAUUAUUUGAUUAAUUGUGGCCACCUUAUAACAUGAAUGUGAACAAAGAAUGGUGGCCCCUUAUUUGUACUGGAUAAAGAGAUCUAUUGGCCUUAUUAGUCACUGGAUAAAGUAAAUGUCUUUUGCUUUUGCCUAA